Molecule: ribosomal RNA, 253 nt
Filed under: uncultured bacterium
Lineage: Bacteria
Description: partial 16S ribosomal RNA
Rfam family: Bacterial small subunit ribosomal RNA
Source: RNAcentral
UACGUAGGGUGCAAGCGUUAAUCGGAAUUACUGGGCGUAAAGCGCACGUAGGUGGCGACGUAAGUCGGGUGUGAAAGCCCCGGGCUCAACCUGGGAAUUGCAUUCGAGACUGCAUUGCUGGAGUACGGAAGAGGAAGGCGGAAUUCCCGGUGUAGCGGUGAAAUGCGUAGAUAUGCGGAGGAACACCGAUGGCGAAGGCAAUCCCCUGGGCCUGCACUGACGCUCAUGCACGAAAGCGUGGGGAGCAAACGGG